Molecule: long non-coding RNA, 223 nt
Filed under: Elaeis guineensis (African oil palm)
Lineage: Eukaryota; Viridiplantae; Streptophyta; Magnoliopsida; Arecales; Arecaceae
Description: long non-coding RNA (EGUI_LNC007989)
Source: RNAcentral
AUCAACAUCAUUUGAAAUUUUACAUUAAUUUACUAUAAACUUUUAAAUGGAAAAACUUAAAUACAAGUAAAAUAAUUAAAAUGCAUAUUUUCACAUAAAAAUUUCAGUCAACUUUAAAAAUUGAAAUACAAAAAAUUAAAUCAAUUGGGUUUCAUAUUUUUCUCAACACUUAUUUUUGAAGUAUGAUGUAUGAUUAUCUCAAUAAUCCUACUCUAGUGCACCU